AGCAUUAGGAUUUCUAUUUUCAUCAAGCACUGCACUUGUCUAGUCUGGUUGUACAAGAACAUCAUGGAUGAUUAACCCUCAUCCAUUUGUCAUCCUAUUGCGUCCACACAUAAAGGGAUUUUCAUUAACAUAUAACUCAUAUUGAAUUGUUUGUUCAAUAUGAUCUACAAUAGAACAAGAGUCUUUUGUGUUGACUCGAACUCGACUAAGAACUUCAUCAACUUCUCCUUAAGUUGGUUGUUUAUUCCCGAUCAAGGAUAAAAGUUUUUCUUCAAACUUCUACUCUAGAUAUGUCUUCAUUUCAUUCAUUUUUUGUUCAAAAUUUUCUUACAUUUGCAUCCCCAUCUUCUGAAAGGCAUCCUUACUCAAUUUGUCCAUUAUGAUGGAUCAGAGUAAUCACGAAGUCCCCGCA
Molecule: long non-coding RNA, 412 nt
Filed under: Vigna radiata
Lineage: Eukaryota; Viridiplantae; Streptophyta; Magnoliopsida; Fabales; Fabaceae
Description: long non-coding RNA (VRAD_LNC013621)
Source: RNAcentral